GACGAACGCUGGCGGCGUGCUUAACACAUGCAAGUCGAACGGAAAGGCCCUGCUUUUGUGGGGUGCUCGAGUGGCGAACGGGUGAGUAACACGUGAGUAACCUGCCCUUGACUUUGGGAUAACUUCAGGAAACUGGGGCUAAUACCGGAUAGGAGCUCCUGCUGCAUGGUGGGGGCUGGAAAGUUUCGGCGGUUGGGGAUGGACUCGCGGCAUAUCAGCUUGUUGGUGGGGUAGUGGCUUACCAAGGCUUUGACGGGUAGCCGGCCUGAGAGGGUGACCGGCCACAUUGGGACUGAGAUACGGCCCAGACUCCUACGGGAGGCAGCAGUGGGGAAUAUUGCACAAUGGGCGGAAGCCUGAUGCAGCAACGCCGCGUGCGGGAUGACGGCCUUCGGGUUGUAAACCGCUUUCGCCUGUGACGAAGCGUGAGUGACGGUAAUGGGUAAAGAAGCACCGGCUAACUACGUG
RNAcentral lists this ribosomal RNA (468 nucleotides) under uncultured bacterium. RNAcentral's name for it is "partial 16S ribosomal RNA". It matches the Rfam family "Bacterial small subunit ribosomal RNA", at positions 28 to 507 of the family's 1533-position model. The record is from RNAcentral.